GGGAAAAUAAGAAAUAAAUUGGCUUCAGUUCAUAUGGUAGGCCCUAGGCUGUUCAGAGGAACCGAAGGAAAUCCACAGACAGGGGCUGCCUAAUCUGCCUAAUAUUACUAGCAGAUAUGGUGUAGAAACUGAAGUUGUUUAGCCUAAGCCUGAAAAUCAAUGUCCUCAAGGAUGUCGCUCCACAUUCCCUAGGAUUCAACAGGCUUGUCUUGGCAUCAUGACUCAGCAAAAAUCAAAUAACAUGAAUCUAGCAAGUAAAGGAAGCGAACAGAAUUGUUUUUGGUGUUUUUAGUACCAAACGUCAAAGCAACAACCAUCAACCUCAUCUACAGCUUGCACACCCUAGUAACUCCUUCGCCUAUGUCGCACAGUUUUCAUCUCUUGCCCCAUGGAUUCUUGAGUGUGGUACUCUGAUCAUAUUUCUGGAAACAAAAACCUUUUUUCUACCCUUAAUUCUCCUUCUCCUUCUCUAUUGUUACCUUAGCUAAUGGAUCAAUGAUUGUUGUCAAAGGAAUAGGUGUACCUCACCCUCUACUUCAUUACCUUUAACUUAAAUUCUUUUUGUACCUAAAUGUCCAUAUAAUCUAAUUAUCAGUAGUAAAUUAACCAAAAACUUCAACUGUUCUGUAACCACUUUGCUAGUUCUGUUUUUGUGUAGGACCGGAGUAUGGGAUAGAUUAUUGAAAGGACAUGAGACACAUGGAUUAUACCAGUUAUCCGCUCCAAAACCACAUGUCGCUUUCACUUCCUCUGAUUUGCUUCAAAGUCAGAUGGGACAUCCAAGCUUCUUAAAACUGCAGAAGAUGGUCCCAAGUCUAUCUUAGUUUAUAGUAGUUAGAAAGUGAGUCGUUUUUCAACUCGGGAAACACAAUCGUAGUUCUUUCCCAAUAAGUGCCAAACUGUCAAUAAUAGGGCUUCCUCUAUGAUUGGAGUUGUUCUAUUGGAUAUAUGGGGUCCAAGUCAGUUCUUCAUUAGGCUUCCAUUAUUUUGUUACAUUAAUUGAUGACUAUUCUCAGAGCACAUGGUUAUUUUUAAUGAGAAAUAUAUCUGAAUUUUUCUCUAUUUUCAGAAUUUUUGUACUAAAAGUCGCAAUCAAUUUGGUGCCCAUAAAGAAUCAAUCGGUGCUAACCGAGAAGAUAUUUCUCUUUUUUCUCUUUCUGUCUGUGUCAUCACAAGGUAUAUCGCACUUGUCUUCUUGUGUACACACUCCUUAACAAAAUGGAGUUGCCGACAAAAAGAAUCAACAUCUCAUUGGAACAACUUGGACAUUACUCAUCCACAAUCAUGUUCCUUUACACUUUUGGGGUGAUGCCACUAUUACCACUUGAUAUUAAAUCAAUCAUAUGCCGUCUACCUUUUUGCAGUACAAGAGUCCACACACGAUCCUCAACCCAAACUAGACUCUGUUCAAUUCUUUUUUUUUUUUUUUGAGGAAGUAACAUGGCUUUGUGUUCAAUUCCUCCACAUGUGUUUGAUUGUAUUUGUUUUGUUCACAAUCUUAAACCUAGAAUAGAAAAACUUCAGUGAAAGGCUAUCAAAUGUGCCUUCUUAGUUCUUAGAUCUGCUGCACCUGCUGGAUAUGGUACUACCCAUGGUGGUAGUCAAGUUGGGUCUCAUCAAACUAGGGCACAGAGAGAUCCUCAACCUGAAGUUGAGAAUGCGGGUCAGCCCUGAUUAGUUGUUCCACAGCAAGUGCAAGAACAAGUUGUUCGGGAUGCUCCAUCAACAAUGCUGGACGUCAUAUCUGUUGUUGCUUUGCCUGCAAAUGGAAUGACCAGAUUGUUGGAUGUGUUAAAGAGGCUUUGGUGCCUAGCCAUGGUGGACUUCCAGUUCCUCAAGCUACUUCACAAAUGCAAACACAAGUUCAGUUGAAUGCUGCAGCUACACAGACACAUCAGUCGGUUGUUCAUUCAGUUGCAACUAUAGGGCAAUCCAAAGAUCUUAAGCCACCUGAUUUCGAUGUGACACUUAACCUCAUACACUGGAACUGCCGUAGCGCCUUGAAGCAGGUUAUUGAACUGACGUCUCAUAUCGUCUUGUUUCCUCAAUGCAAUGAACCUGUCCUUAAACAUUGCUGAAAAUUCCUGACCAAGUGAUAGGUGGUAACCCUGCUCAGCAAUGUUUAAGGACAGGUUCAUUGCAUUGAGCAAACAAGACGAUAUGAGACGUCAGUUCAAUAACCUGCUUCAAGGCGCUACGGCAGUUCCAGUGUAUGAGGUUAACUGGUUUAUCCAAGUAUGUUUCAUUUUUAGUUGAAGACCCAAAGGAGAAGGGUGAGAUGAUUCGUGGAUGGAUAUGAGCAUUGUUAUUGGGGUCCUGUGAUAUCAGAUGUGUGAAGAGCUACUUCUUCAGACGUAGUUGACACUGCUCUUCGUUUUUAGUCCUAUUCAAAAAUGGAAAAAGCUGAGCUAGAAAGCAAAGAGGCAUGUAACACGAGCAGGUUUAGUGGUGAAAAAAAAAAGAGUGGUUUUUUAUCACGGGCAGUGCAGGCCUGGUGCUAGUUAUUCUGGUGCUAGUUGAGCUACUACACAUCCGUAGAGAACUGCCACAGGUACAUAGACUAAGAUUCUAAGCUGCUCGGACUCUUCAAAAAUGUCAAUGGAUGCGUGUCAGAUACUCCAAAGAUAGGUAUUUUUGAAGGAUCCGACACGGGUGCGGCAACAUUUUUGGAGAGUUCGAGCAACUUAGCUAAGAUUCAUACAGCUAGGGCCGCUCGUAGACAGGGUCAACAAGGUGCACAAGUUGCUCAGGGAGCAGGUGGACCAUCGAAAUUAUUCCCUAUGGUCAGACAUGAUAUCAACACAUCUAAUGCAGUAGUCAUAGGUAUUAUCACUGUCAAUCUCGUGAGGCAUAUGCUCUUAUUGAUCCUGGUUCAACGUAUUCGUGAUCUCAAUUUUUUGCUAUAUCCUUAAAAUGAAAAAUCGAUUCUUUUAUUGUGCCAUAUAUAGUAAUGACCGCAGCAGUGAAACUUUAUCCGUGGAUAGACUAUAGGGUUUGGAGUAACUGGUAAAGUUGCUGCCAUGUGACCAGGUGGUCACGGGUUCAAGCCUUGGAAACAGCCUCUGGCAGAAAUGCAAGGUAAGACUGCGUAUGAUACACCCUUGUGGUGGGGCCCUUCCCCGAACACCACGCAUAGAGGUAGCUUUAGUGCACUGGGCUGCCCUUAGACUAUAGGGUUUAUAGAAACUGUGUGAUAGUUGUGCAAAAAUGGACACCAUCGUAGAUCCACUAGUGUCGAUGUCUGACUUUGAUGUGCUUAUGGGUAUGGAUUGGUUGGGGUUAUGUUAUGCUUUGGUUGAUUGCUAUGCUAAACUUAUACAUUUUGAUUUCCCCCCCCAAAAAAAAAAAAAACCUUUAGUGUGAAAAAACAUGACUCGCACAUAAUAUCUAAUGUAAAGGCACGCCAAAAUGAUUAAUCAUGGGUGUUCGAAUUUUAUUGCUAUCAUUCAUGAUACUCGAGCGAAAAUGUUACUAUUGACGGUGUUCCUAUUGUUCAAAAAUUUGUUGAUAUGUUUUCAAAAGAUUUGUCCCCGAUGUACUCAUAUUCAAAACAAAAAUCAGCUGAACUCUGACACGAUACAAAGUAAAAUUGGUUUGGAAAUAUCAAUCUUGCUUUACCUAAUUUGUGUUCUCCCAUUUUUAAUUAAUUUAUUCGUUGUACUAUAAACAUAAUCUAUACUUUAUGGCAUGUUAGGUCAGUAUAACUAAUAUAGGAUAAAAUAAAAGAAACUCAAAAAAGGAUCAACUAGACCAACGCAAAGUAGGCCACCAUAUAGUUGUAAAGGGUCGUGCACUAGGACCAAUCCCAUCCCUUUCUAAAAAUUACUGGCUCCAGACUUUUCCCUUAAGGAUGGAGCCAGCCUUGAACCAGACCAUGGCUCAUGUGCCAAAGAGAAAGUGAAGAUCCGCUAAUCAGGUGUAGGUCUAAGAAUUGCCGCUUACUGGUAGGCAGUGUUAUCAAAAAGCAAAAAGCACAAAAAAGCUCUAAGGUCCAUUGGGGCUUUAAGCACAAAUAAAGCAUGUGAUUUGAUAUUGUUUAGUCUCGCCAUUUGGGCAGAGGCUCACUAGAUGGAAAAAUAUGUCUUAGAGCCUUCGUUACAACACUGAAGCGCACGUUAAGUGAGGCGACACGCUCAACACGUUUUGUGCCUCGCUUCAGGGCAUAAGCACACCUUUGACGACACUGCUUUCAUGGGAAGCUGUUUGAUUCAAUCAAGGUCGCAGAGACUUUGAUACCAUGUGCAAAUAGAAAAGAAGCUAUUUGACAAUCAAGGUCACAGAGACUUUGAUACCAUGUGAAAAUAGAAAAGCUUCUCAAUUUACAAGAGGUAGAUCUUAAUUAAUCAACAUCAAUUGUCUGUGACAUAUUGGGAAGAAGAUACCCUUGGAAUGUGUACCAAAAAGUACUAAUCGAUUAUUUAAAUGGUGGAAGUGUGGUGGAAGUUCAAGGUUGGAUUGGAUAGAACUUAAUUAGGGUGUUAGCAAGAGGAUCUAGAUUGGUUUUUCCAUGAGAUAGCAGAAACGAGAUCAUUUUGAUUAGGAUCCACAACCUCUAUGUGCGCUUGGCUCAUCAUACUAAGGGUCAGCUAGGGGAAGAACACUUUAUAAUAGCAUCUCUGCCUAUGUUAGGAAAACUAUGUCAUCAACAAACUAUGUUAGAGAACCUGUUAUGGAAACUGUGCAAAUCUUAUAUAUAUCUACUUUUAAAGAUGAUUGAAGAAAGAAAAUUAACAAUAAACAUGAUUAAGAAGUAGAGGCAGUUGGGCAUCUAUACAACACAAAAGAUAUCAAAACAUUUACAAUGGAAGCUUAAAAACAAAAAUUUGAAGAAAAGAAAUUGUUGGGUUAUGCUUCGGGAGGAUAUAAGGAAGAAAGAUGUUUUCUAAGAGUAUUUUUAUACCUAAACUCAUGGAUUCUACUUCCACCUUUACUAUGGAACUGCAAAUUCUUACUAGGGAUGAUAACUUAGUACCAACACAGAAGCACAAUAGAUAAUCUAAGACCACCAUAAGUCAAAUUUCUAAGCUUAUUUCUCACACAAUUCGGCAAACCUCAGACAAGAUCUUUUUUUUAUGUGAUACUCGAACCAACAACCUUAAGUUCAGACGUGGAGGCGUUUUCCACUUGAGCUACCCUCUCGUGUCAAACAUCAGACAAGAUCUUAUCAAAACCUUUUCCACUCAAACAUUUCAACAAACCCACAAAACUCCUAAGUAUCUACACGAAUAUAAAGGAUUAUAUACCCCAAGACAGGUAAAUUAUUGAUAUUAAUUUUACAAUAAAGGAGAUAUUGCUAAAGGAGGGAAAGUGGGUAUCCUCAAGCCCAAAAACUAAGGAAAAAAGAACAAGACAUAAAUCACCUGCCCAAAAAUUACCGUUUUCAUUGAGGAAAGAGUAUAAUUCUACAACAUCGUGGUGCUACAGUAGAACUUUUUGGAUAUCAACGUAAAAUACACAGGGAAUGCAGAAAAAUAUCAAGCAGAGAACAAUAAUUAGGUGCAAUGAAAGCUUGCCUGUUCAGAGAGGUUGAGUCGUUGGCAGUUUUUCAAAGAACCCUGCUCAACUUUUGGAUCCCACUUAUUGUCAAAGAAAUAACCAUUAAUAUGACUCAUCGAUUUUUAGAACAAUCCCUUGAUUAGACCAAGAUCUUAGUGAGACAUCGACACCAAUCUUCAAAAGUUAAUACAAAAACAGGAUUGUUAUCCAUUUCAUUACACUCAGGCCAAACGCAGAGCUUAAGCACACUCCAUUUUUCUUCUAACAACUGAAGUGAUCAUUAUUUCAUUUUGAC
This 5791-nucleotide long non-coding RNA is filed under the name Capsicum annuum. Its description in RNAcentral is "long non-coding RNA (CANN_LNC004860)". Lineage: Eukaryota; Viridiplantae; Streptophyta; Magnoliopsida; Solanales; Solanaceae. The record is from RNAcentral.